UACGGAGGGUGCAAGCGUUAUCCGGAUUCACUGGGUUUAAAGGGUGCGUAGGUGGGCUUGUAAGUCAGCGGUGAAAUCUCCGGGCUUAACCCGGAAACUGCCAUUGAUACUAUAAGUCUUGAAUUAUCUGGAGGUAAGCGGAAUAUGUCAUGUAGCGGUGAAAUGCUUAGAUAUGACAUAGAACACCAAUUGCGAAGGCAGCUUACCACGGAUCGAUUGACACUGAGGCACGAAAGCGUGGGGAUCAAACAGG
This 253-nucleotide ribosomal RNA is filed under the name uncultured bacterium. Its description in RNAcentral is "partial 16S ribosomal RNA". It matches the Rfam family "Bacterial small subunit ribosomal RNA", at positions 524 to 776 of the family's 1533-position model. The record is from RNAcentral.